This 403-nucleotide ribosomal RNA is filed under the name uncultured bacterium. Its description in RNAcentral is "partial 16S ribosomal RNA". It matches the Rfam family "Bacterial small subunit ribosomal RNA", at positions 28 to 526 of the family's 1533-position model. The record is from RNAcentral.
GACGAACGCUGGCGGCGUGCCUAAUACAUGCAAGUCGAACGCAGUGGGGACGGGUGAGUAACACGUGGGUAACCUCGCAUCAGAGGGGAUAACACUUGGAAACAGGUGCUAAACCGAUACUGAUGGAUGGACCCGCGGUGCAUUAGCUAGUUGGUGGGGUAACGGCUCACCAAGGCCACGAUGCCUAGCCGACCCGGGAGGGGGAACGGCCACACUGGGACCGGGACAAGGGCCAGACUCCUACGGGAGGCAGCAGUAGGGAAUCUUCGGCAAUGGACGGAAGUCUGACCGAGCAACGCCGCGUGAGUGAAGAAGGUUUUCGGAUCGUAAAGGUCUGUUGUUAGAGAAGCGGUAACUAACCAGAAAGGGACGGCUAACUACGUGCCAGCAGCCGCGGUAAUAC